Molecule: non-coding RNA, 719 nt
Organism: Manis javanica (Malayan pangolin)
Lineage: Eukaryota; Metazoa; Chordata; Mammalia; Pholidota; Manidae
Source: RefSeq, a predicted model, not a curated record
AAAUCAAUAGGUGGUGCAGUUCUUUCAAGAAUGAUAUUGGGUAAAGGGGUAUUACAUAAUAUAAUUUGUUUUCUUUUCCCUGAUAAAUGAUAACCUUCAAUUUUUGUGCCAAAUGAGUCUUUAAAAAAUUCAAGUUACAUUCUCUGGAAGACACCUUCUCAAGAACUCUCUAUAGAAGACAGCAGAUUACAAUCUUUAGUAUUGUAACAUGCAAAUAAGUUUCAUAAAACCAAAAAAACCCCCAGCAUUUUUUGAGUAAUAUCAUUUGAAAGAAUUAUGGUAUGUUGAAGUAAUUCAUUUUUGGAGUAUCCUUUAGCUUUCUGUUCGGAAAGAAAAUGGAGAAAUUAGGCAACUAUUGGAAUGAUUUCAAUUUCAUUAUUCAACAGCAUCGAUGCGCUACUUUCUUGUUCCAAGAAUGUAUCUAUUAACAGUGAUGUUUUGCCUUACAGCUUUUCUGGGAGAAGAGGCUACAAGGACUUAGUGCAUCAGAUGUAACAGAACAAAUUAUAAAAACCAUGGAACUACCUAAAGGUCUUCAAGGAGUUGGUCCAGGUAGUAACGACGAGACCCUUUUAUCUGCUGUUGCCAGUGCUUUGCACACAAGCUCUGCACCAAUCACAGGACAGGUCUCCGCGGCUGUGGAGAAGAACCCCGCCGUCUGGCUUAACACAUCUCAACCCCUCUGCAAGGCUUUCAUCGUCACAGAUGAAGACAUUAGG